AUACGAAGGGAGCGAGCGUUGUUCGGAAUCACUGGGCGUAAAGCGUGCGUAGGCGGUUUUGUAAGACAGAAGUGAAAUCCUGGAGCUUAACUCCAGAAUCGCUUUUGUGACUGCAAAGCUUGAAUCCAGGAGAGGUUGGGGGAGUUCCGAGUGUAGAGGUGAAAUUCGCAGAUAUUCGGAGGAACACCAGUGGCGUAGGCGCCCAACUGGACUGGUAUUGACGCUGAGGCACGAAAGCGUGGGGAUC
Molecule: ribosomal RNA, 247 nt
Filed under: uncultured bacterium
Lineage: Bacteria
Description: partial 16S ribosomal RNA
Rfam family: Bacterial small subunit ribosomal RNA
Source: RNAcentral